ACAAGUUGAGGUUUACAACCUAUCAUGUUGACACUAUUUUGUUUCUAUGCCAUUCAAAUUAAGUUAAUUAUGCAUAUGAGUUCUCAUUUUAACGCAUAAAAGGCAGGCACCUUGAUCAAUGAAAAGUACAUGGAUAGGAAAAAGGUGAGUUGUUUAACUACUUGGAAGACAUGGUGGGCAGCUGUGCUACCAUAAGGCAAGAAAUCAAGAUUAAGAAAGUUCGGUCCAUAUAAGUUUGAAUUUGUCGUAAACCUUGGACAGGAACACAUACACCAUUAAAAUCUAAGUCUCAUAAGAUUUUUUUCAUUCAUGAAAAUGACUGUGAGAAAAUGCUUUCACUAAGAGAGAUUUUAAGAAGAUAGCAAUUAUAAAAUUACAUUCUCAAAUUUGAUUAUGGUUACAAUAUCCCUUUCCAUGAUUCGAAUUGUGAGAUUUGGGAAUAUGUCGUAAACCUUGGACAGGAACACAUACACCAUUAAAAUCUAAGUCUCAUAAGAUUUUUUUCAUUCAUGAAAAUGACUGUGAGAAAAUGCUUUCACUAAGAGAGAUUUUAAGAAGAUAGCAAUUAUAAAAUUACAUUCUCAAAUUUGAUUAUGGUUACAAUAUCCCUUUCCAUGAUUCGAAUUGUGAGAUUUGGGAAUAAGUCUUAAUUGUUUAAGACACAUAUGAGCUAUCUUGGAUAAAUGUGUAUGAGAUUAAGAAGCCUUGAUAAAGGAUUAUCAAAGCACUAAGUAUUAGAAACAUGGAAUUAAGAAAUUCAAUAGGUAUUGUUUUUCUGAAAGUUAAGAUGUUUAUGAAUACAUGUCAAAGCUAGUGGGAGCAUAAGUGGUUAUGUUUAUAAUAAUCAUCAUGAUAGUGGGAGCAUAAAUGUUAUGACUGUAUGAUUAUUAAGGAAAGUAUUGCAGGUUGGCAAUAUUAAUUAUAGAAAAACAAGAGUUAUACUUUGCAAAGUAGUAAGGAUGUAAAGUUGUUUUACUAUAAUUAAGGGAGAGAAUAUUGUACUUCGUUUCAUUAUCUAAAGCUUAGAUUGAGAAAUUUUAAUAAAUUUAGUCAAAGUAUACAUAGUGCGUUCUUAAAUUUCGAUUAUGAUUACGACAUUCCUCUUCAUAUUUCGAAUUAUGAGAACGUAGCACGUAAAAUAUUAUGGCAGAAGAUUGAUAAAGUAUUAAAUCUUCAUGUAAGACGUUUUGCAUCGUGUCCCAUACGCUUCGGGUACAGGAUCGAUUGAAAAUGCUAUAAUAUUUGACCAUUCUAAAAUUUUCCAAAUGUCUAGCGCAUUUAGAGGGAAAAAGGACAAGAAUCGGUUUUGACUAAGAUAAUUAAACAACUAUCAA
Molecule: long non-coding RNA, 1334 nt
Filed under: Lactuca sativa (garden lettuce)
Lineage: Eukaryota; Viridiplantae; Streptophyta; Magnoliopsida; Asterales; Asteraceae
Description: long non-coding RNA (LSAT_LNC010177)
Source: RNAcentral